GAUGAAGAACGCAGCGAAAUGCGAUAACUAAUGUGAAUUGCAGAAUUCAGUGAAUCAUCGAAUCUUUGAACGCACAUUGCGCCCGCCAGUAUUCUGGCGGGCAUGCCUGUUCGAGCGUCAUUACAACCCUCAGGCCCCCGGGCCUGGCGUUGGGGAUCGGCGGAGCCCCCCGUGGGCACACGCCGUCCCCCAAAUACAGUGGCGGUCCCGCCGCAGCUUCCAUCGCGUAGUAGCUAACACCUCGCGACUGGAGAGCGGCGCGGCCACGCCGUAAAACACCCAACUCUUCUGAAGUUGACCUCGAAUCAGGUAGGAAUACCCGCUGAACUUAAGCAUAUCAAUAAGCGGAGGA
This 352-nucleotide unclassified non-coding RNA is filed under the name soil metagenome. RNAcentral's name for it is "partial contains 5.8S ribosomal RNA, internal transcribed spacer 2, and large subunit ribosomal RNA". The stretch from base 1 to 120 matches the Rfam family "5.8S ribosomal RNA", at positions 35 to 154 of the family's 154-position model. The record is from RNAcentral.